CCACUCAGCUGAUUGUUAUUGGCACCAAUUCCGACACUACUUCCUUUAUUACU
Molecule: non-coding RNA, 53 nt
Organism: Caenorhabditis elegans
Lineage: Eukaryota; Metazoa; Nematoda; Chromadorea; Rhabditida; Rhabditidae
Source: Ensembl